Molecule: transfer RNA, 63 nt
Filed under: Erotylinae sp. 4 ACP-2013
Lineage: Eukaryota; Metazoa; Arthropoda; Insecta; Coleoptera; Erotylidae
Description: tRNA-Phe
Source: RNAcentral
UUUAAAUAGCUUAUAUAGAGCAUAAUAUUGAAGAUAUUAAGGAAUUUUUAAAAUUUUAAAUAU